UUAGAUGCGAGAGUAGAGCAUAUCAAUAAGCGGAGGAAAAGAAACUAACAAGGAUUCCCUAGUAACGGCGAGUGAAGCGGGAAGAGCUCAAAUUUGAAAUCUUCAAGGUUUCCCUUGACGAAUUGUAGUUUAAAGAAGUGUUUUCUGUUAGAGAGGUGGUAAAAGUUCUUUGGAAUAGGACAUCAUAGAGGGUGAGAAUCCCGUAUUUGGAUCACUUCCUACUAGCUUUGUGAUACACUUUCAAAGAGUCGGAUUGUUUGGGAAUGCAGUCCAAAAUGGGUGGUAAAUUUCAUCUAAAGCUAAAUAUUGGCGAGAGACCGAUAGCGAACAAGUACCGUGAGGGAAAGAUGAAAAGAACUUUGAAAAGAGAGUUAAACAGUACGUGAAAUUGUCAAAAGGGAAGCGUUUGACACCAGUGUUGUUUUUCCGAAAAUCAAUUAAGAAUGUCCUGAUUUUGAGAAGUUCAUGACCUUAAUAGGCUUGUUUCUUAUUUUACUUGUAACUUUCUUAAUGCACUUUUCGGUUAACAAGUCAACAUCAAUUUCUUUUGUUGUAAAAAGGUAAGAGGAAGGUGGCUUGCGCUUCGGCUCAAGUGUUUAUAGCCUUUUACCCCUGCAAUCGGAGAGAUUGAGGUCUGCAGCGUAGAUCCUUCGGGGUUAGAUACAUUUGUGCUAAGCUAUAGCCUUGUAUAGACAACUUGUUGACUAUGCUCAGUCAUGUAGCUUACUCGCUUAUGCUAUUUUACCUACGCUUAGGAUGUUGACGAGACUGUCGAUCUC
This 779-nucleotide ribosomal RNA is filed under the name uncultured Neocallimastigales. RNAcentral describes it as "partial large subunit ribosomal RNA". It matches the Rfam family "Eukaryotic large subunit ribosomal RNA", at positions 21 to 642 of the family's 3401-position model. The record is from RNAcentral. Lineage: Eukaryota; Fungi; Neocallimastigomycota; Neocallimastigomycetes; Neocallimastigales.